This 90-nucleotide transfer RNA is filed under the name bacterium. RNAcentral's name for it is "tRNA-Ser". It matches the Rfam family "tRNA". Rfam says of the family: Transfer RNA (tRNA) molecules are approximately 80 nucleotides in length. Their secondary structure includes four short double-helical elements and three loops (D, anti-codon, and T loops). The record is from RNAcentral.
GGAGAGGUGCCGGAGUGGUUGAACGGGCAGACCUGGAAAGUCUGUGUAUCGGAAACGGUACCGAGGGUUCGAAUCCCUCCCUCUCCGCCA